Pipistrellus kuhlii (Kuhl's pipistrelle) is the source of this 778-nucleotide long non-coding RNA. RefSeq lists it as uncharacterized. The record is from RefSeq and is a predicted model, not a curated record. The transcript is spliced from 3 exons. Lineage: Eukaryota; Metazoa; Chordata; Mammalia; Chiroptera; Vespertilionidae.
CUAGGUGUUUGUACACAAACAAUUCACAGCAAGGCGGAGGAGAACCUGGAAGGAGGCUCAGUUCUCCAGGAAAUUUAAUUCCUUAGCGUUUGGUUUGGUCUCUUGACCCAGACCAGCAAUGCUGACUAAUAUGUGAGGCCGCACCCCAGGAGUAUUAUUGUGUGUGUUGAUCCUGAAGGCUAGAGAGUAAGAUCCGGAUCAUUUGGGUGCAUUGAGUCAUGGCCCAACAGAUUUACUCCGUUUUUAAAUUAGAAGAAGGCAACAGAAGAGUGGCCCAUGUGCAUGGACAGGGCUGGAGUGAUUCUUGCUUCAACAGCAGUCCCUUCAACCUUGCUUGAAUGGAGGCUGAGUAGAUCACAAGCUUCGCAGACUACAAGAUACCUUUGCUCAAAAGGAACCACAAUUGUUCCCCAGAUAUCAAAGCUAAGCAGAGUUGUAAAUUGUUUCAACUUAUGAAUAAAACUCCCCUGAACCACACCAAAGCUAUAAACUUGACAUAUAGUUUUACCCUGCUAAGGGAGUUAUUUUGUAGUGACAAACUUUUCUUCUGGUGGCCUGACACAUCCUAGGAGGACUUUGAGGUUGGGAAUUUUUCCUUCCCAUCAAAUGCUGGUUCUAAAUCCACAAAACUGUUUGAGAAACCAGAUACAAAAUUAUGAUACUAUUGGUGAUUUGAUUCGAAAAGAUGAAAUAGAUUAACAGCACGGAGAUGCCAAAAUUUUUAAAUAUAAUCUUUAAAAAUUUCAUUCUUAAAAUGUGAAAGGAAGAUCCACACAAG